RNAcentral lists this ribosomal RNA (497 nucleotides) under uncultured bacterium. Its description in RNAcentral is "partial 16S ribosomal RNA". It matches the Rfam family "Bacterial small subunit ribosomal RNA", at positions 28 to 507 of the family's 1533-position model. The record is from RNAcentral.
GAUGAACGCUGGCGGCGUGCCUAAUACAUGCAAGUCGAGCGAACGGACGAGAAGCUUGCUUCUCUGAUGUUAGCGGCGGACGGGUGAGUAACACGUGGAUAACCUACCUAUAAGACUGGGAUAACUUCGGGAAACCGGAGCUAAUACCGGAUAAUAUUUUGAACCGCAUGGUUCAAAAGUAAAAGACGGUCUUGCUGUCACUUAUAGAUGGAUCCGCGCUGCAUUAGCUAGUUGGUAAGGUAACGGCUUACCAAGGCAACGAUGCAUAGCCGACCUGAGAGGGUGAUCGGCCACACUGGAACUGAGACACGGUCCAGACUCCUACGGGAGGCAGCAGUAGGGAAUCUUCCGCAAUGGGCGACAGCCUGACGGAGCAACGCCGCGUGAGUGAUGAAGGUCUUCGGAUCGUAAAACUCUGUUAUUAGGGAAGAACAUAUGUGUAAGUAACUGUGCACAUCUUGACGGUACCUAAUCAGAAAGCCACGGCUAACUCCGUG